GACGAACGCUUGCGGCGUGCCUGAGAAAUGCAAGUCGAGCGGGGUGUAGCAAUACACCUAGCGGCGAACGGUCGAGUAACACGUAAGCAACCUGCCCUGCAGUGGGGGAUAACAGCGGGAAACUGCUGCUAAUACCGCAUAGGCAUAUUUCUGGGCAUCCAGGGAUGUGUAAAGGCUAGACUGCUGCAGGAGGGGCUUGCGGCCUAUUAGCUAGUCGGUGGGGUAACGGCCUACCGAGGCGACGAUGGGUAGCUGGUCUGAGAGGAUGGUCAGCCGGAUCGGGACUGAGACACGGCCCGGACUCCUACGGGGGGGCAGCAAUCAGGAAUAUUGCGCAAUGGGGGAAACCCUGACGCAGCGACGCCGCGUGCGGGAUGAAGGCCUUGGGUCGUAACGCUGUUGUGGGAGACGAAUGACUGUCGAUGAGGCAGUGGAGACGGUAUCUCACGAGGAAGCCCCGGCUAACACGUGCCAGCAGCCCGGUAAACA
This 489-nucleotide ribosomal RNA is filed under the name uncultured bacterium. RNAcentral describes it as "bacterial SSU rRNA". It matches the Rfam family "Bacterial small subunit ribosomal RNA", at positions 28 to 525 of the family's 1533-position model. The record is from RNAcentral.